UGGGAGGACUGUCUUUUGUUAAGGCUUUAAGAUAAGUAAAAAGGAGCUUCAGAUAUAUACCUGUCGUGGUUUGGCUCUGUGUUUCCACCCAAAUCUCAUGUCAGAUUGUAAUCCCCACACGUUGAAGGAGGGGCCUGGUGGGAGGUGAUUGAAUCACGGGAGCAGACUUGUCCCUUGCUUUUCUAGCGAUGGAGUUCUCAGGAGAUCUGGUUGUUUGAAAGUGCGUGGCACUUUCCCCUUUCCUGUCUCUCUCUCUCUCCUGUUCUGCCAUGGUAAGACGUGUUUGCUUCCCCAUAGCCUUCCACCAUGACUGUAAAUUUCCUGAGCCCUCCCAGCCAUGCUUUCUGUACAGCCUGUGGAACUGUGAGUCAAUUAAACCUCUUUUC
This 386-nucleotide long non-coding RNA is filed under the name Homo sapiens (human). RNAcentral describes it as "HSALNT0337630". The record is from RNAcentral. Lineage: Eukaryota; Metazoa; Chordata; Mammalia; Primates; Hominidae.